UACGUAGGAUGCAAGCGUUGUCCGGAAUUAUUGGGCGUAAAGAGCGAGCAGGCGGUUUGGAAAGUUGGACGUGAAAUUUUAGGGCUUAACCCUAAAGGGUCGUCCAAAACUCCCAGACUAGAGUGCAGGAGAGGAAAGCGGAAUUCCCGGUGUAGUGGUGAAAUGCGUAGAUAUCGGGAGGAACACCAGUGGCGAAGGCGGCUACCUGGCCCACUCUUGACGCUGAGGCGCGAAAGCUAGGGGAGCAAACGGG
This 253-nucleotide ribosomal RNA is filed under the name uncultured bacterium. RNAcentral describes it as "partial 16S ribosomal RNA". It matches the Rfam family "Bacterial small subunit ribosomal RNA", at positions 524 to 776 of the family's 1533-position model. The record is from RNAcentral.